This 74-nucleotide transfer RNA is filed under the name Armillaria ostoyae. It matches the Rfam family "tRNA". Rfam says of the family: Transfer RNA (tRNA) molecules are approximately 80 nucleotides in length. Their secondary structure includes four short double-helical elements and three loops (D, anti-codon, and T loops). Further hydrogen bonds mediate the characteristic L-shaped molecular structure. tRNAs have two regions of fundamental functional importance: the anti-codon, which is responsible for specific mRNA codon recognition, and the 3' end, to which the tRNAs corresponding amino acid is attached (by aminoacyl-tRNA synthetases). tRNAs cope with the degeneracy of the genetic code in two manners: having more than one tRNA (with a specific anti-codon) for a particular amino acid; and 'wobble' base-pairing, i.e. permitting non-standard base-pairing at the 3rd anti-codon position. Lineage: Eukaryota; Fungi; Basidiomycota; Agaricomycetes; Agaricales; Physalacriaceae. The record is from RNAcentral.
GGGUCGGUGGCGUAGCUGAUUAUCGCAUCUGUCUAAUACACAGAAGGUCCUCAGUUCGAACCUGGGCCGACUCA